This 1175-nucleotide ribosomal RNA is filed under the name Oenococcus oeni. Its description in RNAcentral is "bacterial LSU rRNA". It matches the Rfam family "Bacterial large subunit ribosomal RNA", at positions 1739 to 2925 of the family's 2925-position model. The record is from RNAcentral. Lineage: Bacteria; Bacillati; Bacillota; Bacilli; Lactobacillales; Lactobacillaceae.
GAAGAAGGACUGCUGGUUUUAUACCAGCCGCAGCAAAUAGGCCCAAACAACUGUUUAUCAAAAACACAGGUUUCUGCAAAAUCGUAAGAUGAAGUAUAGGGGCUGACGCCUGCCCAGUGCUGGAAGGUUAAAAGGAGGACUUAGCUUCGGCGAAGGUCUUAAUUGAAGCCCCAGUGAACGGCGGCCGUAACUAUAACGGUCCUAAGGUAGCGAAAUUCCUUGUCGGGUAAGUUCCGACCCGCAUGAAAGGCGUAAUGAUUUGGGCGCUGUCUCAACAAUAGACUCGGUGAAAUUUAAAUUCCAGUGAAGAUGCUGGGUACCCGCGACAGGACGGAAAGACCCCGUGGAGCUUUACUGUAGCUUGAUAUUGAAUGUUUGUGCUGCAUGUGCAGGAUAGGUAGGAGACUUUGAAGUCGGAACGCUAGUUUCGAUUGAGUCACCCUUGAGAUACUACCUCUGUUGUAUGAACGUUCUAACUCUGAUCAGUUAUCCUGAUCGAAGACAGUGUCUGGCAGGCAGUUUGACUGGGGCGGUCGCCUCCUAAAAGAUAACGGAGGCGCUCAAAGGUUUGCUCAGAAUGGUUGGAAAUCAUUCGUAGCGUGUAAAGGCAUAAGCAAGCUUGACUGUGAGACUGACAAGUCGAGCAGGUACGAAAGUAGGACUUAGUGAUCCGGUGGUUCCGUAUGGAAGGGCCAUCGCUCAACGGACAAAAGCUACCCCGGGGAUAACAGGCUCAUCUCCCCCAAGAGUCCACAUCGACGGGGAGGUUUGGCACCUCGAUGUCGGCUCAUCGCAUCCUGGGGCUGUAGUCGGUCCCAAGGGUUGGGCUGUUCGCCCAUUAAAGCGGUACGCGAGCUGGGUUCAGAACGUCGUGAGACAGUUCGGUCCCUAUCCGUCGUGGGCGCAGGAAAUUUGAGAGGAUCUGUCCUUAGUACGAGAGGACCGGGAUGGACAUACCUCUGGUGUACCAGUUGUUCUGCCAAGAGCACCGCUGGGUAGCUACGUAUGGAUUAGAUAAUCGCUGAAAGCAUCUAAGUGAGAAACUAACCUCGAGAUGAGAUUUCCCAUUCGUCAGAAGUAAGACCCCUGAGAGACGAUCAGGUAGAUAGGCUAGAAGUGGAAGUGUAGUGAUGCAUGGAGCGGACUAGUACUAAUAGGUCGAGGACUUAACCAAG